RNAcentral lists this ribosomal RNA (391 nucleotides) under uncultured bacterium. RNAcentral describes it as "bacterial SSU rRNA". It matches the Rfam family "Bacterial small subunit ribosomal RNA", at positions 368 to 775 of the family's 1533-position model. The record is from RNAcentral.
GAAAUGGACGAAAGUCUGAUCUAGCAACACCGCGUGUGCGAUGAAGGCCUUCGGGUUGUAAAGCACUUUUUGGAAGGAUUAGGAAGGAAUGUACUUCCAGAAUAAGUCUCGGCUAACUACGUGCCAGCAGCCGCGGUAACACGUAGGAGGCGAACGUUAUCCGGAUUUACUGGGCGUAAAGCGCGUGUAGGUGGUUCCGUAAGUAGGGCGUGAAAGCUCCUGGCUCAACUGGGAGAGGCCGUUCUAAACUGCAGAGCUAGAGGAUGGUAGAGGGAGGUGGAAUUCCGGGUGUAGCGGUGGAAUGCGCAGAUAUCCGGAGGAACACCAGUGGCGAAGGCGGCCUCCUGGACCAUUCCUGACACUCAGACGCGGAAGCUAGGGUAGCAAACGG